CAGAUGAUGGUCCUUUGACAAAGGAUUGGGUUUCUGCCUCUGGCUCAUUGACAAAAGGGAGGGAGGCAGGAAGGUGGGAGCUGCUUUGUCUUUAAAACAUGUUUCUCCAUUUCUCAACCAGGGAAAUAUAAUAUUCUGCCUUUUUAAUAUUUCCUAAAAUAUUUCAUUCUUCUAGGAAAGGGGUGGGUGCUAACUUCCUACAGUCCCUCUUGCUGCAACUAAACCAUCUGCUUCGGCACAGAAAGGAGCAGGCCAGGAAACCACCCGUUGGCCUAUAACUCUCACCUGUUGACCUACUUGCCUGGGACACCUACCUCUUCACACAUCAAAAUCACAUGAGGUCCUCACUUAAUGACUAACGGGUUCCUGGAAUUGCAAUGGCAACUGGAAGUGCCAGGAUUGCCCUUACCAAGCAAUGCGGUCAUGUGUCACUUUUUAUAACCUUAUAAAUUUACAUUAUAAGCA
Pantherophis guttatus is the source of this 465-nucleotide long non-coding RNA. RefSeq lists it as uncharacterized. Lineage: Eukaryota; Metazoa; Chordata; Lepidosauria; Squamata; Colubridae. The record is from RefSeq and is a predicted model, not a curated record.